CUACGGGGGGCAGCAGUGGGGAAUAUUGCACAAUGGGCGCAAGCCUGAUGCAGCAACGCCGCGUGGACGAUGAAGGCCUUCGGGUUGUAAAGUUCUUUUCUUAGGGAAGAAUAAAUGACGGUACCUAAGGAAUCAGCCCCGGCUAACUACGUGCCAGCAGCCGCGGUAAUACGUAGGGGGCAAGCGUUAUCCGGAAUCAGUGGGCGUAAAGGGAGUGUAGGCGGUCAAGCAAGUCAGGGGUGAAAGGCAUCGGCUCAACCGAUGUAAGCCUUUGAAACUGUUUGACUUGAGUGCAGGGAGGUAAGUGGAAUUCCUAGUGUAGCGGUGAAAUGCGUAGAUAUUAGGAGGAACACCAGUGGCGAAGGCGACUUACUGGACUGUAACUGACGCUGAGGCUCGAAAGCGUGGGGAGCGAACAGGAUUAGAUACCCCUGUAGUC
RNAcentral lists this ribosomal RNA (439 nucleotides) under uncultured bacterium. RNAcentral describes it as "partial 16S ribosomal RNA". It matches the Rfam family "Bacterial small subunit ribosomal RNA", at positions 339 to 795 of the family's 1533-position model. The record is from RNAcentral.